UACGGAGGAUGCGAGCGUUAUCCGGAUUUAUUGGGUUUAAAGGGUGCGUAGGCUGUGCGUUAAGUCAGGGGUGAAAUGCCGUCGCUCAACGACGGAGCUGCCCUUGAUACUGGCGUGCUGGAGUACGGAUGCCGUUGGAGGAAUGAGUGGUGUAGCGGGGAAAUGCUUAGAUAUCCCUCAGAACACCGAUUGCGAAGGCAUCUGACGAAUCCGUCACUGACGCUGAGGCACGAAAGCGUGGGGAUAGAACAGGAUUAGAUACCCUGGUAUUCCACGCCGUAAACGAUGAUGACUAACCGUCGGCGAUAGACAGCCGGUGGCCAAGCGAAAGCGAUAAGUCAUCCACCUGGGGAGUACGUCGGCAACGAUGAAACUCAAAUGAAUUGACGGGG
RNAcentral lists this ribosomal RNA (392 nucleotides) under uncultured bacterium. RNAcentral's name for it is "partial 16S ribosomal RNA". It matches the Rfam family "Bacterial small subunit ribosomal RNA", at positions 524 to 918 of the family's 1533-position model. The record is from RNAcentral.